ACCAGCAACUGCGGAAUGUUUUGUGUCUCCAGUUUCAAAUUUCGCGGAAAGGGACCAAAUGUGAGGACAUAUAAAAUAUCCCCUUCUCUUUUCAUUAAAAAUGAGUGCAUUACAAAGGAAGGGCAGCCCCUUAAUGCCUGCGAGAAUAGCGCUGCUGGUUUCGUUUUUGUUUUGUUUUGUUUUGUUUUUCAUUCUGACCCACAAUCAGUGUAUUUUUGAGGUCCCUAUGCAAUGGCGACGGUGCCGUGAAGGGCAACUCAGCAAAAUAAAGCGGUGAUACAUUUUUUAACCGAUUUUUUUCUCAGAGGAGAAAAAUCUGAACAAUUUGGCCUAAGUUUCACUUUGUCCUUCUCUUAGGUUGAUCUCAUUUAAAUUCAGGGCCUACUUCCACUUAAGCAACUUCUUCUUUCAUUGUAUAGGUUCUUUAAUAUCCAACCUUUUUAAACUUAACUUGAAGCCUUUAAUUUAAAAAACUGUCCCAAUCAUCAUUUUCUUUUCAAUGUAUGCAGUUGCAUUUUAAACAUCCAUUUAACACACAAAAUGUGAUUUUUGAAAUUUUUUUCACUUUCAAACCCACCUGCUACAUACUCCCAGAGAGCGUUUUAUUUAAUUGCUUAAUAGAGAAGAUUAAGCAGUUUCUUUAAGAAUCCAAUUUCCCUUCAACAAGCACAACAGCAGCUGCCCAAGCUCCCAGAAACUAAGCAAAGGCAAGUAGCAGGCAGCGUUUUGCUUCACUAGAAUGAAUGUUAGUUGAAACCUUAAAUACCUCUUUAAAAGACUAGAUUAAAGAGAAUAAUGGGAAUAUUAAGAUACUCCGGUAGUUAGUUAAAAUAUUUUUUAAGGAAAACCAGGCAGAUAUACAUCUAUUUUGAUGAUUUGAUCCCACCUUCAAAGAGGAUCCCUGAAAAGAGUUUUAGUCACAAUUUGACAAAUUUUAAAUAAUUACUUUGUUUCAGAGUCAUGAGGAUGGAAAGAAGAUAGCCUGCGUUGAGUUGAAGUAAAGUAAAAAUAUUAUGAAUAUGUGUAACUAGGUGACAUCCUCUCUGCUGGGAAGAAUCCUUUUUUUUUUUUUUUUUUUUUUUCUGGUGACAGGUUCUUGCUCCAUCACCCAGGCUGGAGUGCAGUGGCAUGAUCUUGGCUCACUGCAGCCUCUCCCUUUCAGGCUCAAGCAAUCCUCCCACCUCAGCCUCCCGAGUGGAGGGGGAGCCACUGCAGAUCUGGAGCAAAUCAGCACCAGCCACUCCAGAGCCUGACCUACAUAGGACUCAGAAAGCAUUGUCUAUUGUGAUUGAUUAUUCCUGUGUUCAGUCCCAAUGGCCUAUUGAUUGGGGGUUUCUCUCCAAAAGGCUGCAUGGCUUUUCUUCUCUAAGUGAAUCUCCUUUAUAACCCAUAUUUUAUGUCUAUAUACCAAACAUGCUAUCCAUAUUUAGUCAAUGUCCAGUUGCUUGCAUGUAAGGGCAAUAGAGUAAUCAGAAAACUCUUCCCAGAAAGCCCCCGAAGACAAAACUAGUACUGGUAGAAAACUGGGCAUGCAGCUCUAAGAAACUCUAUGGGAAGUGAGGCUGGGUGGGGCACAGCUGCCCCAGCCUGGCACCCAUAUGGAGCAUCAGCAAGGAAGUAGGAACUUUCUUUUCAUCAUGCAUCCUUCUUAUCACUUCUCAGUUUCAAAGGGAAAGAAAAUUUGGUAAUCUGCAUUUUGAGACAUUAAGAAAAUAAAAUAAUUAAUGGCUUCAUGGUUAUAUGGCAUUUUUCAGAGUAUUGUCAGAAAAUCAUUUCGAACUGAAAUUUUCAUUCAAAAAUAUUUAUUGAAUGCCGGCUAUGUGCUGAAGAUUCUUAAGAUACAUCAGUGAACAAAUCAAAGUUCCCUGCUUUCUUGGAGCUUGCAUUCCAGCGGGAGGAGAGGAUUUGGAGGAAGAAUGGGAUAGACAAUAAAUCACAAGACCUCCUGCCACAGAGCAUGGGACCUGAUAUAUCCAGGCAGGAGAACUGGGUACCAGGAGACACUGUACAUGAAGUUUCCAGAACCAGCCAUGUCCAUCUUACUAAUCAAGACUCUCUCUGUUAAAUCUGCAACUCAAAUGACUUUAAGGAAAAAUGGAUUUCAUUGAUUCACAUAACCAUCACUCAAGGACUAACUUUCAACAUAGUGAGAUCCUGAGGCUCAAAUAUUAUUACCCGGGUUCCAUGAACUGCUUCCUCUGACAUGAGAUCUAACAAGGCUAAAGACUAAAAUGCAGCUGUUUACAGCGUAAGUAGGAGGCCGUCCCGUGCAGUGCAAAAUCAACAGAGAGGAGACAGUCCUAUGCCUUCGAGAGACAGUCUGCUGAUACUGUCAUGAUGUCUAGUGACAGGCCAGAGAUCAAAACCCAACACCCUCAUUUACCUGACAGUGAUUUGGCCAAUCCCUUAACAUCUCUAAGAGCUUCAUUUUUCUACAAAAUUGAGACAAUAGUAUUUGUUUCAUAGUGUUACUGUCAGGGUUAAAUGUUAUACAUUAAGCAUUUAAUAUAUGCUGCUUGUUUAUCUAAAUAUUCAUGGUCAGGCACUAACUUCUUAUGUGACUCUGAGCAAUGCAUUCAUCUCUGUACCUGUUUCCUCAUCCAUAAAUUGGGAGUUGAACAAGGUGAGCCCUAAGUUUCGUUCCAACUUCAAUAUUCUAUAAUUCUUGCAACUUAUAUGGCCUCAGUUUUCUUAUCUUUAUAAUGGGCAUAAGAGUACCUACCUCACAGAAUUUUUGAGAGGAUAAAAUGAAUUAAGACAGGUAGAAAAUUCUUAGAACAGUGCCUGCCACAUUGGAAGUGCUUAAUAUGUAUUAGCUGUGAUGAUGCUGCUAAUGAUGAAGAUGAUAAUGACCCUAUUUGCAGAUAGUAUGGCAGCCAUAAAACAUUCAGUAUCAGAUUGAUUACAUUCUCUUAUUUUCUGAGUCAAUGCCAGAGCUACCAAGAUUUUAUUCUUUAAAGGUUCUUCAAGACUAAAUUCUUUUUACAUGAUAUGAUUAUUACACAUUGUAUGUCCGUAUCAGACCAGCCUGGCCAACAAGGUGAAACCCCAUCUCUAAAAAUACAAAAAUUAGCAGGGCAUGGUGGCACGCACCUGUAGUCCCAGCUACUCGGGAGGCUGAGGCAGGAGAAUCACUUGAACCCGGGAGGCAGAGAUUGCAGUGAGCUGAGAUCGUGCCACUGCACUCCAGCCUGGCAGAGUGAGACUCCAUCUUAAAAAAUAAAUAAAUAAAUAAAUAAAUAAAUCUCAUGUACUCCAUAGAUAUGGGGUACCUACUAUGUACUCACAAAAAUUAAUUUUUUUUUAGAAAAGCCUAAGCUCAUUUGCUUCUUAGUAAGAAUUAUGUUAAGAUUUCCCAGUGUAGAUACCCUAGGCUGCUAAUUUUUUUUCUUUUGUUAUCAGUAUCUUAAGAAAUUAAUUGGCCCGGGAGUGGUGGCUCAUGCCUGUAAUCCCUGCAGUUUGGAAGGCCAAGAUGGGAGGAUUGUUUGAGGCCAAGAGUUCAAAACCAGCCUGGGCAACAUAGUGAGAUACUAUCUGUAUAUAAAAUAAAAAAAUUAGUGAGGCAUGGUGUCAUAAGCCUGUGGUCCCAGCUACUUGGGAGGCUGAGGUGAGAGGAUUGCUUGAGCCCAGGAGGUCAAGGCUGCAGUGAGCUGUGAUGGUGACACUGCACUCCAGCCUGGGCUAUAGAGCAAGACCCUGUCACCCUCCUCAAAAAAAAAAAAAAAAAGCAAUUAAUUGAUUUAUUUAUGGCCAUUCUCUCUUUUUGUGAGCUGGAUAUGUGUUCACUUUCAUUCUAAAAACGUACAGCCCCCAAAGCCCACACAUGUUGUCAAAGCUCACUACAUUUACCUAGAGAGUUUCCUGUAGUCUCCUCUUUCAAGUAUUUUAAAUAAUGCGUAAUUUCUUCAUGUAACUGAAACAUGUUAAUGUUGAGUUGGCACAGGAAGAAAAGUUUUGAUUUACUCAGAACUGGGAUUUGUGUGGGUCAUUUCCUAGUCCUCCUAAGUAUUUAACAAAUGUAAAAUGUAACACACAAUUAAAUAAGCUACCCAAGCCAAAUGAACUGGUGAGUGCAUUAUAAAUAGCAACCAAAAUUAUUCUUCAGUUGUUAACUGGUAUGUCCUGAUUUAAUAAUGAAUUACAUCAUUUGACAAAUGAGAUAAGACUUCCACCUUUAGCUUUCUGAUCCAAACUUCUAAUAGUUGAAAUGUAUUAUUACCAUCUGGUGUCUGGCCUCUGAAAUGCCCUGGCGAUAUCUGCCUCAUUUCAAGUAGUUGGGGCUUGCAUAUGCCAGCAAAGCACUCUCCGAAGUGUCUUGAUUGGCAGGCCCAGAGAGAAGGCUAAGAACCGAAUGAACCAUGGAGAUAUAGCUCCAGCUCUGUAGAAGUUUCCUCUGGUUCAAGGCAGACUCAUUUUCUUAGUUUGUGCAGCAAAAAAAUUGUCAUGAUCGAAGUUGUUUUUAUUUUGGAUCUCAAUCCUGAAGGAUGCAAUUCCUAUACUUACCAAGAAUGUUUCCAUCUGUUUUAAAUUAUUUCACUCCUUUUACAAACUGGCAAUAAUUUUAACACCUUUUAUUUUCAGUGAAAAUAAUUCGAGAAUGAAGCUGAGAAUGAUACAUAAGCCUAGAGUUUUAACUCAGUGAAGUAAUAUGAUUCUGACAGUUCUUUAUUUUUUCCACAUUGUGUUAGAUUCCUAGUAAAAAGGGAAGAUGAAUCUUAUUGCUUUCAAAAACCUGACAAUAUGGUAUGUAGGACAGAAUGAACAUACAUAGAACAAUAUCCAAUAACACAGAUGAAGGUGUCAAAGCCAUUGCCAGACAGAGUGGUGCAGAUUGUGAGAUCAGUUUUCUUGGUAAGUGUUAUGGACUGAAUGUUGGUAUUCUCUAACAUUCAUAGAUUAUAAUCUAAUCCCCAAUGUGAUGGUAGCACUAUCUGGGGGUGAGACCUUUGGGAAGUAAAGGUCUUUUUCUCUCCACACCUGACCAAAAGUAGGAGCUCAACAAAUGUAUGUGCACUGAAAUGGAAUGGGGGCAAACAGCCUGGUGGUAUAGUACAAAGCAAAAUUUGGUUAUGGUAGGAGCAGUACAGAUACAUCUGGAUCACAAUCUAAAUUCUCUCCAGGGACCAAAUACAUAGAUUUACCCCUUGGGUUAUUGGUCUGGUAGACUCUUAAUUUUUAAUAGGGUUUAUAUAAUCUAGACUUCUUAUAACCUCUGCCCCACUGGAUAUAGGUAUUACUCAGUUGAAGUUAAAAAUUGAAUAUAGGAUUAUAUGCAAUGCUUUAUCUAUAACUUUCUUGUAAGGAUAAACUCAGUACAUCUCUGGUUUUCUAAUAUUUUGGAGGAAAUGUUACAAAUAGGUAAGGAAAGUUUGAGCCUCAUUUACGCAUGAGGGUGGACCCCUCCUGAAUGAGAUUAAUGUCCUUAUAAGAAAAGGCCAGAGAGCUAGCUCACUCUCUUUCAGCAUGUGAGGACACAAGAAGCCCAGAGUCUGCAACCUGAAAGAGGGCCCUCACUAGAACCCAAUCAUGCUGACGCUGUGAUCUUGGACUUUCAGGCUCCAGAACUGUGAGAAAUAAAUUUCUGUUGUUUAUAAGCCAUCCAUUUCAUGACAAUUUGUUAUAGUGGCCUGAACAAAGACAAUAGGUAUAAAAGAGAAUUGAUAAAGAUGAAAUUUAGGAAUACAAUUAGAAGUGAAAUGCAAAUAACAAGAGGGUGACCCCGGAGUAGAAAAGUGUCUGUGUCUGGUAGAUUUGAAUAGUUUACAAAUGCCAAGCCUGUGCAAAAUAGGAGUUACCAAUAUUAAUGGCUGCAUCAUUACAAGGUGUAUCCAAAAGACACUUAAGAUUAAGUCUGUGUUUGUCAGUGGGGAGGUGAGAGUAGGAAAUGUUAAAUAACCUGCCCUUUGUCACUCAGCCAACAAGUAAGAGAGCAGGGAAUCAAGUUCAGAUCUAAGUCCUCUAAAGUUAUUCCCCAAACUCCUCACAGCUUCACUUAAUAACCAUUUCCUGCUUUGGUUGACUUUACAAAGAUGACCAUACAUUUGAGAGCAAAAGGGGAAGCUAUGAAUCAUUACAUCUGGACAAAUGGCAUGAAUCAAGAUCAUCCACUGCCAACUAGAGUGUAUGUUCAUCUUCUGUCUAUAUAUCUUCAUUCCCAGACAUCUACCAGACAUCCAGUGACUUAUCUGAGAAGUACACUUGGAGGUCAGUUUCUUGGAGUAAAUUGAUCAAAGUGUUAAAAUUCUGGAAAGUUAUUGUAUUUUAAAAUAGUUCACACAAAAAAAUAGUACAAUGAAAUGAAUCACUAUUAGUGGAAUUUCAGGCCCUCAGGUACCUGAUAAUAAGAACUCUUUCAAAACAACAUAACUUUCCUGGUACCUGUCAAAUCACAAUUUCUAUAUGAGAUAUGGCCAGCUGGGUAUUCAAGGAUAAUUGGUCAGCUACUGUGAUGAUUAAUAUGGAGUGUCAACUUGUUUGCAUUGAAGGAUGCAAAGUAUUGUUCCUGGGUUUGUCUGUGAGGGUUGUAUUAGUCUGUUUUCAUGACACUGAUAAAGACAUAUCUGAGACUGGGCAAUUUACAAAAGAAAGAGGUUUAUUGGACUUUCAGUUCCACAUGGCUGGGGAGGCCUCACAAUCAUGGUGGAAGGUGAAAAGCACAUCUCACAUGGCGGCAGACAAAAGCAGAGAGCUUGUGCAGGGAAACUCUCAUUUUGAAAACCAUCAUAUCUCAUGACACUUAUUCACUAUCAUGAGAACAUCAUGGGAAAGACCUGCUCCCAUGAUUCAAUUACCUCCCACUGGGUCACUCCUACAACACGUGGGAAUUCAAGAUAACAUUUGGGUGAGGAUACAGCCAAAUCAUAUCAAGGGUGCUGCCAAAGGAGAUUAACAUUUGAGUCAGUAGACUGGAAGAGGCAGACCCACCCUCAAUCUGAGUGGUUACCAUCUAAGCAUCUGCCAAUGCAGCUAGAAUAAAGCAAGCAGAAGAAAGUGGAAUGAGAAGACUUGCUGAGUCUUCUGGUCAUCAUCUUUUCCCCAUGCUGGAUGCUUCUUGCCCUUGAACAUCAGACUCCAAGUUCUUCAGCUUUCAGACUCUUGGACUUAGAGCAGUGGUUUGCUAGGGGCCCUCAGGCCUUCAGCCACAGACUGAAGCCUGCACUGUCGACUUCCCUACUUUUGAGGUUUUGGUACUUGGAUUGGCUUCCUUGCUCCUCAGCUUACAGCUGGCCUAUUAUGGGACUUCACCCUGUGAUCGUGAGUCAAUUAUCCUAAUAAACUCCCCUUCAUAUAUACAUAUAUAUUAUUAGUUCUUACCUCUAGCGAACCCUGACUAAUACAGAUUUCUAGAUGUACAGAUGGAUUGAGAGGCAAACACUCUAAAUUAACAAGGCAGAAAUGAAAGAGCUGUUCUGCCCAAGAUCUUCAGCACUGCUCAGACCUCUAUAAGAAUUUCUUAUCCAGUUCAAAACUUAUCAACUUAAGAAAAAUAUAGAAAAUUUGUAAAGCAUUCAGAAGAAACUAAAGACUAAAGCAAAAUGAUAUGUUCAAAUACUUAACACUGCCAAAAUGUAAUGCAUUUCAAUAAAGUGAUAUAUGUCCUUAACUCACACAAAUUAAUAAAUGUCUAAUAGACAUACAUAUGGGAAGUGAAUAUCAAAUGCCUGUGUACUAUUUGUAUAAAAUCUAAGUUAAAACUCAUUUCCAUCCCAAAGAUGUGUGAUAUGUAAAAUAAUAUUCUACGUAUUUUGUUUAAUUUUGGGGGGUCAUUUAAGAUUUUUUUAUUUGCAGAAAAAAGAUGCUACAAACAAAAUUAAUGGGAAAAAACAAAAAUUAGUACCAAAAGAGGAAACGAGGACAAGGAAAAACACGAGCACAUAGAAAAAUGUAAAAAUACUCAAGCCAGGCUCAGAGAACCAGCAUCCCUGACAGCAAGUGUUGUUAAACAUCCACGUGGGUUGCUAAGGAAGGUUAGGGAAUCUCCCUUUCCCAGAAGUCUUUAAAAAUAGGAUAACAUCUGUUUGGAUGGGAUAAUGGUGGUACUGCUUGACUUGGCAGCUUCUUAAGCAAACCUAUGGUUUGGUAAUUCUACCAUUUCUAUUUCUGAUUUGAAAAGUAACAAAUAACUUCAGUUCACCUAGAAAAUUGGGCCUUAUAAUGACUUGUAAUAUUGUCUUAUAAAACUAUUUUCAUUGUCAUUAAUAGUGCAAAGGUAGAUAAUUGAGGUUUUCAGAGUAUACUUGAAUUUGCAGCCAAGGCUCAAACUUUCCUUAUCUAUUUGUAACAUUUCCUCCAAAAUAUUAGAAAACCAGAGAUGUACUGAGUUUAUCCUUACAAGAAAGUUAUAGAUAAAGCAUUGCACAUAAUCCUAUAUUCAAUUUUUAACUUCAACUGAGUAAUGCCUGUAUUCAGUGGGGCAGAGCUUAUAAGAAGUCUAGAUUAUAUAAACCCUAUUAAAAAUUGGAGUCUGCCAGACCAAUAACCCAAGGGGUAAAACAUAUAUAUUUGGUCCCUGGAGAGAAUUUAGACUGUGAUCCAGAUGUAUCUGUACUCCUCUUACCAUAACCAAAUUUUGCUUUCUACUAUACUACCAGACUGUUUGCCCCCAUUCCUUUUCACUGCACAUAUAUUUGUUGAGCUCCUACUUUUGGUCAGGUGUGGAGAGAAAAAGCCCACAGUCCCUGCCCUUGAGGAACACAUAAUCCAAAAAAAAAUGCAUGGGUGGCUCCAGGUGUUGUAGGGUCUUAGGCAAGUAUAAUUUUGGACAUGCAUUUUAAGAAAAAGAAUACAAAAUUACAAAUGCAGAAUUACUAAUAAAAGUGAAUAUUUAUUGUAUAGAGAAAAUUAAUCACAACAAAUUACAAGUUUUAGCAUUCUCACAAAUGCCAGAAAUACCACAAAAUCUCAGAAAAAAACCUAUAUUUUGUAUUAAUUAGCUGACUGAUCACAUGUAUAAUUCUACGUGUUCUACUUUUGGUUGCAUAUUGUUGACCACAUGAGAAAAAUUUCUUUAUUUACUUAUUCAGAUGGAGUUUCGCUCUGUCGCCCAGGCUGGAGUGCAGUGGCGCUAUCUCAUCUCACUGCAACCACUGCCUCCCAGGUUCAAGCGAUUCUCCUGCCUCAGCCUCCCGAGUAGCUGGGACUACAGGGGCAUGCCACCAGGCCCAGCUAAUUUUUGUAUUUUUAGUAGAGACGGGGUUUCACCAUGUUGGCCAGGAUGGUCUCAAUCUCUUGACCGCAUGAUCCACCCGCCUCGGCCUACAAAAGUGCUGGGAUUACAGGCGAGAGCCACCACGCCAGGCCAAGAAUUGUUUAUAUUAUUUUCUAUACAGAGAAAACAGUGAUAAUUUAUUCAGUCAUUCCUUUGGCAUGAUUGAAAUUUGUUUUCUUUCUGGCUCACAACUCUUUAAUAAUUAUAAGUAAGUUUUCAGGAUUGUUGUCAAGUACAGGAAAACUUCAGUCAAAUUUCUUUCAUAUAUGAACUGCAAGAGCUAUAAGAUUUCAGGGCAUUGAUAAUUUUCUUGCAUGUAAGUAAUUUUAAAUACUCUUUCAAUUGAUGUUACUCAUUAACCAGCUUGUCACUGGUGUCCUUGUUGUAAUGGUGUAGUGUGAGUUCAAUUUUAUCUCUGUCAAUGUCAGGAUUGUGUAUCAAAUUUGAAAGAAAUUUAAGUAUUUUCUCAAAGAGUUCAUGUGAUUCAGUCCUCUGGGUUAAAUGUGUUAUCAAAAACUAAAAAGCCCAUUCAGUACUUCCCUCUUCCUGUUAAUGAAUUAUUGCUCUUUGUAUUAUCUAAAAAUAUUUCUGUUACAAUUUACUUCUUGAUGUCAAAGUGAUUUCUAUUUGACUUUAUCUCUCAAUUGUUUUUUCAUAUCCUAUCAAAUUUCAUCUGCAUUUUCUCCCAGUUUCUUAUUACAUUAAUUCAUAGAUGACAAAAGAGUUACUCUUCAUAUAUGCCCAUAUUAGGAGUCAUUGAUUUCUGUGGGUUUUUAAUUGAAAAGAUCCAAAACAUCUAUGCAAAUUCCAGUUAAAAUGAAGUAUUUAUGUCUUAUUAAUUUUUUGAAUAAUCUGUUCACUUCUUGUUUUUGUUACUCUUCCAUGACUUUAAAAAUAUAUUUCAGGGUCAUUAAAUUGCACUGUACAAUGUUUUAAGACUUGAGAAGCUUUAGUGUGGGCAAACCAAACCAUGUUGUUACCUUUAGACUCUUAAAAGAAAUACUCUUGUUGGCAUUUUAAAAGUUGAGGUAAAAUUACCAUUCAAUAAAAUGUACAUAUCAUAGUGUUCAGCUCAAUGAGUUUUGAAUAGGCCAGGCGCAUUGACUCACUCCUGUAAUCCCAGCACUUUGGGAAGCCAAGGCAGGUGGAUCAUGAGAUCAGGAGUUCAAGACCAGCAUGACCAACAUGGUGAAACCCCGUCUCUGCUAAAGAAUACAAAAAUUAGCCAGGCGUGGUGGCACGUGCCUGUAGUCCCAGCUACUUGGGAGGCUGAGGC
Molecule: long non-coding RNA, 10484 nt
Filed under: Homo sapiens (human)
Lineage: Eukaryota; Metazoa; Chordata; Mammalia; Primates; Hominidae
Description: non-protein coding lnc-AIG1-8:16
Source: RNAcentral